CAGUAGCCGCGGUGAAUACGUAGGGUGCAAGCGUUAAUCGGAAUUACUGGGCGUAAAGCGUGCGCAGGCGGUUAUAUAAGACAGAUGUGAAAUCCCCGGGCUCAACCUGGGAACUGCAUUUGUGACUGUAUAGCUAGAGUACGGCAGAGGGGGAUGGAAUUCCGCGUGUAGCAGUGAAAUGCGUAGAUAUGCGGAGGAACACCGAUGGCGAAGGCAAUCCCCUGGGCCUGUACUGACGCUCAUGCACGAAAGCGUGGGGAGCAAACAGGAUUAGAUACCCCGGUAGUCCCUGUCUCUUAUU
Molecule: ribosomal RNA, 301 nt
Filed under: uncultured bacterium
Lineage: Bacteria
Description: partial 16S ribosomal RNA
Rfam family: Bacterial small subunit ribosomal RNA
Source: RNAcentral